AGAAGAAUGUCCCAUGAAUCAUCCUGGCCUCUCCCUUUUCUUCUCCAGCCCCCUCCUUUUGUCCCCCAGUGGAGGUGGCUCAAGAUCUCCCAGGGGGGUGGUCUCCAGGAUCCUCUGGACUCAGAACUAGAGACUUUGCUGAGUUUGGAGUGGAAGAAGGUAGGAUCCGGAACCACUGUGGGCUCACUGAGUGACGGCCUGCCCGGAUGAGGAGGAGCCAGCGUCCAGCCACACAGGCUUCAGUGCCAAGGGCCUCAGAACUUCAAAGAAACCUCCAGCCAUGUGGACCUUAUUGCAAGCUCAGACUUCUGCAAAACACUGGCAUUGAAAAUGAAUUUAGAAAGUCUUUGCUGCCACCAUCCUGUCUCACCCUGACCGCUGCAGCAGCCUUCACCCUGGGCACCCCGGUAGCUAUUACCCCUGAAUUGGAUUAAUAGUGUUUCCCCUCAAAUCCAUGUCUAACUCA
Non-coding RNA from Ictidomys tridecemlineatus (thirteen-lined ground squirrel), 466 nucleotides. NCBI's taxonomy places the organism in Eukaryota, Metazoa, Chordata, Mammalia, Rodentia, Sciuridae. The record is from RefSeq and is a predicted model, not a curated record.